Molecule: transfer RNA, 73 nt
Filed under: Myxococcales bacterium
Lineage: Bacteria; Pseudomonadati; Myxococcota; Myxococcia; Myxococcales
Description: tRNA-Arg
Rfam family: tRNA
About the family: Transfer RNA (tRNA) molecules are approximately 80 nucleotides in length. Their secondary structure includes four short double-helical elements and three loops (D, anti-codon, and T loops).
Source: RNAcentral
GCAUUUGUAGCUCAGUUGGAAGAGCGCCGGACUUCGAAUCCGUAGGUCGCAGGUUCGAGCCCUGCCAGGUGCA